This 779-nucleotide ribosomal RNA is filed under the name uncultured fungus. RNAcentral's name for it is "bacterial SSU rRNA". It matches the Rfam family "Eukaryotic small subunit ribosomal RNA", at positions 1 to 1306 of the family's 1831-position model. The record is from RNAcentral. Lineage: Eukaryota; Fungi.
AGGGGUACUCUUUAAAAAAUCCGGUUGAUACGGAUUCAUUCUCCUUGUGCAGCGCCGCGGUAUUCAGCUCCAUAGCGUAUUUAAGUUGUUGCAGUUAAAAAGCUCGUAGUUGAACCUUGGGCCUGGCUGGCCGGUCCGCCUCACCGCGUGUACUGUUCCGGCCGGGCCUUUCCUUCUGGGGAGCCGCAUGCCCUUCACUGGGCGUGCCGGGGAACCAGGACUUUUACUUUGAAAAAAUUAGAGUGUUCAAAGCACGCCUUUGCUCGAAUACAUUAGCAUGGAAUAAUAGAAUAGGACAUGCGGUUCUAUUUUGUUGGUUUCUAGGACCGCCGUAAUGAAUACUAGGGAUAGUCGGGGGCAUCAGUAUUCAAUUGUCAAAGGUGAAAUUAUAGGAUUUAUUGAAGACUAACUACUGCGAAAGCAUUUGCCAGGAUGUUUUAGUUAGUCAGUGAACGAAAGUUAGGGGAUCGAAGACGAUCAGAUACCGACGUAGUCUUAACCAGAAAACUAUGCCGACUAGGGAUCGGUGGAUGUUACUAUUUUGACUCCAUCGGCACCUUACGAGAAAUCAAAAUUUUUUGGGGUUCUGGGGGGAGUAUGGUCGCAAGGAUGAAACAUAAGGAUAAUCGACUGAAAGGGCACCACCACGCGUGGAGACUGCGGCUUAAUUUUGACUCAACAGGGGAAACUCAUCACGGACAGGAACAAUACGAUUGACAGAUGAGAAACUCUUUCGUGAUAUGGGGGGUGAUGGUGAUGGACGUUCAUAAUUGGUGGAA